GAUGGUUGUGUUUGAAUGGAGGCCUUCUGGACAGGAAAAUAUGGAGAGUGCGUGCUUUGGAUUCAAGACUGGGAAUGAGGGGACCAGAAACCUAUUCUGUGGCUGUUUCUUGUUAGGACUUUCCUAAGCCUCUGGAAAAGUGCAAAGUACAAUUAACAUUUGAGUCUGUCUGAGUCAUGAAGAAAUGGAGAUUACUGAAAAUAAUUCAUUUUGGUAUCUUCUUACAUCCUGAGAGACUAAUCUUUCCAAGUUCAUCUGAGGCUCCUCUUCUCCAUGACAACCUCAUCCAGGGAUUUCUUCCUGUCCUGGUGUUUUAUGACAUAAUCACAUCCUUCCUGAGAUAAUGAGCACACAAUUGCCUGGAUACCUGAAGGAAUGGAGACAGCGGCAGAAAACACUGCAGAGAGGUGGAAACAUCCGUUAAUAUUUUAAAAUCCCAUUACUGCUACCAACAAUAAUAAUGGAUGCAUAGAAAUAGAUCUGGAUUAGCUGAGCUUGAAACAGUCCAUCUCACACACACACAAAAGAAUUUCAGGUAAUGAAGAAAAGAAAAGGAAAAAAAUAACACAUGGCCUCUGUAACAUUGUUGCUUUUGAACCUUAUUGGAUUUGUGGCAAACUGGGUGCUUUUGGGACAUGAGUCUCCUACCACUCACCUGCCUCUGAGCUCUCCUCUGAGGCCGGUCACUGCCCAGAAGGGAUGCACCUGUCUUCUGUCCUGUGGUCUCUGGGUAGCCCCUGGGUCAGCAUUUUGGGUGCUAGCAUCUGAUGCAACUGCUACAGUU
RNAcentral lists this long non-coding RNA (784 nucleotides) under Homo sapiens (human). RNAcentral's name for it is "non-protein coding LINC00635:31". Lineage: Eukaryota; Metazoa; Chordata; Mammalia; Primates; Hominidae. The record is from RNAcentral.